UGGGAUGUUACAUUCGUUGUCAGAGCAACUUCGGCAAUUACACGUCAAUUAAUUUUUAUAAAACUUAAAUUAUUUCAAAACACUUGCAAUAACUUAUGUACAUGCCAUAUUCUAUAAUAAAAAUAUCAAAUUCGUACCCUCUUCAAGCCUUGGUGGUGUGAUGAGAUGAGAUGCGUUGAAACCCUAACUUAAAUCUCGAGCUUCAAUUUGAUCUUCCACCUACGCGUUUAAAAC
This 234-nucleotide long non-coding RNA is filed under the name Gossypium barbadense (sea-island cotton). Its description in RNAcentral is "long non-coding RNA (GBAR_LNC021491)". Lineage: Eukaryota; Viridiplantae; Streptophyta; Magnoliopsida; Malvales; Malvaceae. The record is from RNAcentral.